RNAcentral lists this ribosomal RNA (486 nucleotides) under uncultured bacterium. Its description in RNAcentral is "partial 16S ribosomal RNA". It matches the Rfam family "Bacterial small subunit ribosomal RNA", at positions 30 to 507 of the family's 1533-position model. The record is from RNAcentral.
AUUGAACGCUGGCGGCAUGCCUUACACAUGCAAGUCGAACGGCAGCACGGGUUCUUGCCCCUGGUGGCGAGUGGCGAACGGGUGAGUAAUACAUCGGAACAUGUCCUGUAGUUGGGGAUAGCCCGGCGAAAGCCGGAUUAAUACCGCCUACGAUCUACUGCUGAAAGCGGGGGCCCUUCGGGCCUCGCGCUAUAGGGUUGGCCGAUGGCUGAUUAGCUCGUUGGUGGGGUAAAGGCCUACCAAGGCGACGAUCAGUAGCUGGUCUGAGAGGACGACCAGCGACAGUGGGAGUGGAACAUGGGCCAGACUGCGACGGGAGGCCGCAGUGGGGACUUUCGGGAAACGGGAGAAAGGAAGAUCCAGCAAUGCGCGGUGUGUGAAGAAGGCAUUCGGGUUGUAAAGCACUUUUCCUAGGAAAGAAAUACUUCGUCCCCAUAAGGUCAGGCGAUGACGGUACCGGAAGAAUAAGCACCGGCUAACUCCGUG